Molecule: ribosomal RNA, 450 nt
Filed under: uncultured bacterium
Lineage: Bacteria
Description: partial 16S ribosomal RNA
Rfam family: Bacterial small subunit ribosomal RNA
Source: RNAcentral
GUGGGGAAUUUUGGACAAUGGGCGCAAGCCUGAUCCAGCCAUGCCGCGUGCAGGAUGAAGGCCUUCGGGUUGUAAACUGCUUUUGUACGGAACGAAAAGACUCCUUCUAAUAAAGGGGGUCCAUGACGGUACCGUAAGAAUAAGCACCGGCUAACUACGUGCCAGCAGCCGCGGUAAUACGUAGGGUGCAAGCGUUAAUCGGAAUUACUGGGCGUAAAGCGUGCGCAGGCGGUGAUGUAAGACAGAUGUGAAAUCCCCGGGCUCAACCUGGGAACUGCAUUUGUGACUGCAUUGCUGGAGUGCGGCAGAGGGGGAUGGAAUUCCGCGUGUAGCAGUGAAAUGCGUAGAUAUGCGGAGGAACACCGAUGGCGAAGGCAAUCCCCUGGGCCUGCACUGACGCUCAUGCACGAAAGCGUGGGGAGCAAACAGGAUUAGAAACCCCGGUAGUCC